Molecule: ribosomal RNA, 254 nt
Filed under: uncultured bacterium
Lineage: Bacteria
Description: partial 16S ribosomal RNA
Rfam family: Bacterial small subunit ribosomal RNA
Source: RNAcentral
UACGGGGGGAGCAAGCGUUGUUCGGAUUUACUGGGCGUAAAGGGCGCGUAGGCGGUCAGCACAAGUCAGUUGUGAAAUCUCCGGGCUUAACUCGGAAAGGUCGACUGAUACUGUGCGACUAGAGUGCGGAAGGGGCAACUGGAAUUCUCGGUGUAGCGGUGAAAUGCGUAGAUAUCGAGAGGAACACCGGUGGCGAAGGCGGCGAUCUGGACGAUGACUGACGCUGAGACGCGAAAGCGUGGGGAGCAAACAGG